GAUUUCUGGCUUGAAACAUUUUGCCGGCCACGGUUUCGUGUGUUAGUGCUUGAUGUUCUGGCCAUCCUUCCAAUUGUCAUUCACUUCUCUUCAUUGAUUGGUGAGUGGUAUUGGAUCUUUUACUUUGAAAAAAUUAGAGUGUUUCAAGCAGGCUUUAUGCUAUGAAUACAUUAGCAUGGAAUAAUAAUAUAGGACUUUGGUUCUAUUUUGUUGGUUUCUAGGACUGAAGUAAUGAUCGAUCGGGAUAGUUGGAGGUGCUAGUAUUCAGUGGCCAGAGGUGAAAUUCUUGGAUUCACUGAAGACUAACUACUGCGAAAGCAUU
RNAcentral lists this ribosomal RNA (322 nucleotides) under Sandonidae sp. RNAcentral describes it as "SSU rRNA". The stretch from base 112 to 322 matches the Rfam family "Eukaryotic small subunit ribosomal RNA", at positions 744 to 955 of the family's 1831-position model. The record is from RNAcentral. Lineage: Eukaryota; Cercozoa; Glissomonadida; Sandonidae.